UAGAAUAGGAAAACAAAGAAGGAAAUGAAUGUCAAAACUGUCCAUUAAAGAUAAAAGGAAGGCCAACAACAGAAGAGUGGUUGCCCUGUUCUUGAGAGGACUACAUGACAACAGUGUGAAAGAACGCCAGCCCACAGACUUUCAUGAAAUCUUUAGGACCUCUAACACACUGAAGAACAGGAAAUCUGAGUGGGAUUCUGCAGAACACCCCUCCUUUCCCAGCAUGACUUCUCAAUUUCUUCUGCCUUGAGACUUUUCAUCAGGCCUGUCCAAAUAAGAUCUCACCUUCAUCAAUGACAGUGGAGUCAGUGACAACUUCAGAUGGCCCAGAACUCUUCCUGCAGGUGGAGACUCCUGAGUUCCAACACUGUUCUCAGACCUCCUAAGACUGUGCCUGCAAAGGUGCUCAUCAGCCAGUGCUGCCCUAGAAGCCAGCUGUUGUCAAUGUAAGCAUCAAAGAGACAUGGAAAUUCCUUCCCAGUUGUGAGUAAACAGGAUGAUAGAUUCCAGUUUUGAACAAAACCUAAAAGUUUUGAGGGAAUUUGCUAUGGGAAUAAAAAAAUAAUUAGACUUCUGUCUAAUGGGAAUAGACAAGUCUUCAGAAUUACAGUAACUUUUAAUCUAGAAAGGUUUGACUCCACUUCUUGCUAUUUGCCUGCUGACAAAUUUCAGACCUUACCUCUCCCUCUUCCUCUUAUGCAAACCACAGUGAGCUGAUCAGAAAGCCCGGCUGCACUCUACCUUUGCACUGUAUGGACUCAAACCAUGCAAGCUGUGGCCCAUGCCUGGAAAUCUCACUCAGGGUCCACCACAAAUAUUUAAAGCCCAACCAGUCUCCUUUCUUGACUCUCUCAAGCCAUUUAGGACCAGCUUGAGAGGACUCUGCUCUCCCUAGAGAUCUCAAUUUUGGAAGUAAUAAAAGUUUUUGCACCAUUUUCCUGUAUGUGUAGUGUCAUCAGUCAUCACACAUCAACUAAAUCUGAAGUGUGCUUUCCUCUCACACUUAGGAGGAACUAUACCACAAAGGAAGUCUGCUUCUAUUUCACCUUGCAGUUAAUGAAAGAACUAUACAAGUUGUUGACAUUCU
Molecule: long non-coding RNA, 1087 nt
Organism: Chinchilla lanigera (long-tailed chinchilla)
Lineage: Eukaryota; Metazoa; Chordata; Mammalia; Rodentia; Chinchillidae
Exons: 4
Source: RefSeq, a predicted model, not a curated record